CGGGGCGUGGCGCAGUCUGGUAGCGCACCUGCUUUGGGAGCAGGGAGUCGGAGGUUCAAAUCCUCUCGCCCCGAUCA
Molecule: transfer RNA, 77 nt
Filed under: Deltaproteobacteria bacterium
Lineage: Bacteria; Pseudomonadati; Myxococcota; Myxococcia
Description: tRNA-Pro
Rfam family: tRNA
About the family: Transfer RNA (tRNA) molecules are approximately 80 nucleotides in length. Their secondary structure includes four short double-helical elements and three loops (D, anti-codon, and T loops).
Source: RNAcentral